Molecule: ribosomal RNA, 429 nt
Filed under: Chloroflexota bacterium
Lineage: Bacteria; Bacillati; Chloroflexota
Description: Chloroflexi bacterium partial 16S ribosomal RNA
Rfam family: Bacterial small subunit ribosomal RNA
Source: RNAcentral
UGGGGAAUAUUGCACAAUGGGCGCAAGCCUGAUGCAGCCAUGCCGCGUGUGUGAAGAAGGCCUUCGGGUUGUAAAGCACUUUCAGCGGGGAGGAAGGCGUUAAGGUUAAUAACCUUGGCGAUUGACGUUACCCACAGAAGAAGCACCGGCUAACUCCGUGCCAGCAGCCGCGGUAAUACGGAGGGUGCAAGCGUUAAUCGGAAUUACUGGGCGUAAAGCGCACGCAGGCGGUUUGUUAAGUCAGAUGUGAAAUCCCCGGGCUCAACCUGGGAACUGCAUCUGAUACUGGCAAGCUUGAGUCUCGUAGAGGGGGGUAGAAUUCCAGGUGUAGCGGUGAAAUGCGUAGAGAUCUGGAGGAAUACCGGUGGCGAAGGCGGCCCCCUGGACGAAGACUGACGCUCAGGUGCGAAAGCGUGGGGAGCAAACAGG